This 1107-nucleotide long non-coding RNA is filed under the name Homo sapiens (human). Its description in RNAcentral is "non-protein coding lnc-SLC30A4-4:3". The record is from RNAcentral. Lineage: Eukaryota; Metazoa; Chordata; Mammalia; Primates; Hominidae.
GUUGUCUUUGUUGGACGCGGGGGAGCCGUCAGGCUUUCUUCACUGAAGCUAGGGAGAAAACAGGACUUUCAGCCCUCACGCGGCACAGCUUUUUAGUGUUGUCUCCGUGUUUAGGGAAAACCUUCAGAACAGGGAGUGCUCGCUUUCCCUGCGAUUUGGACCAUUAAAAAAUUCGAUGCCUAGGUCUCUGCGAGCCUCAGCCUUGCUAACUAGGGUUUUGCCACUUUUCCGGGCUCCCCUUGUUAAGUGUAGAUGAAAGAUUUAAGCCCUCCGUUGCAGCAGCUACUGAACAAAUUCGGCCAAGUUAUCAGAAACUGCACUUGCUGAGAUCCUGUGGAAUGAUCUCAUGAAUUCUGUUGGAAAACACUUAGAAAAGGGCAUAGGCAGCUUUGGACCAAAGAAAACGAUUUAGCUCUGCCAUCUCUAGCUUAUACCCUCUCAUCUCAACUGUAAUGGUGGCCUCCUAAUGUUGCUCCCCAAUUAUGCCUGUUCAGUUUUCUCAGCUGCAACCAAAGCUUAUUUCAAAAAAAUAAGAAUUUGCAAGACUCAGAAACUUGCACUGGUUCCCCAUUGCCUUUAUCAGUGCAUUCACACACUUUCCUCUUUGGGCCUCUUUUCCUCUUAGUAUUAGCUCCUUCUUAUUAACUCUGGUAGGCAGAAUACUAGCCCCUCAAAGAUGUCCACAGCCUGAACACCAGAAGCUGUGAAUAUGUUAGCUUGCAUAGCAAAUGGGAAUUAAGGUUGUUAAUUACCUGGUGUUGAAAUAGAUUAUCCUGGAAUCGCUUUAACCAGGGAGGCAGAGGUUGCAGUGAGCUGAGCAGCUCCACUGCACUCCAGCCUGGGCGACAGGGCGAGAUUCCAUCUUAAAAAAAAAACAUUAUCCUGGAUUGUUCCAGUGGGCUGAUUGUAAUCAUAGGGCCUCCAAAACUGCAAAAGAGAGUCAAGAGUGACAAGUAACUAUGAAGAAUGAUUAGAGAGAUACAACAUUGUUGGCUUUGAAUAUAGAGGAAGGGAGCCUCCAGCAUUGUGGGUGACCUCCAGAAGCUGGAACUGAACUAGAUCCUGGGACAGAAGAGCAGAAGGGGAGAGAUGGCUACAGAUGGGCCU